Pan troglodytes (chimpanzee) is the source of this 117-nucleotide non-coding RNA. It matches the Rfam family "Metazoan signal recognition particle RNA". Rfam says of the family: The signal recognition particle (SRP) is a universally conserved ribonucleoprotein. It is involved in the co-translational targeting of proteins to membranes. The record is from Rfam. Lineage: Eukaryota; Metazoa; Chordata; Mammalia; Primates; Hominidae.
GCCAGGUGUGGUGGCUCACACCUGUAAUCCCAGCACUUUGGGAGGCCGAGAUGGGUGGAUCACUUGAGGCCAGGAGUUAGAGACCAGCCUGGCCAACAUGGUGAAACCCCAUCUCUA